AAUAUAUAUGAUAUAGAGAGCUAGUCCCUGAGGUAAUAUGUGUGCAAGAAACCUGGUUACGACCUCAAUUAGACUUUGUCAUUCCAGGAUUUAGCUGUAUAGGGCAUGAUAGAGCUAAUAGUCAAAAUGGUGGAGGGGGUGCCACGUUUCUCAAAGAUGGUGUGGCAUAUAGGGAGGUGCAAUCUCCUGAUGAUAUAGAGUGUAUUAUAGUGGACAUUUGCAACCCUAGGAAACAAGAUAACAUUAGGAUAAUCAAUGUAUACAACCCAUGUAAAAAUCUAACCACUGAUAUAUUUAAAGAAAUAGCAGGCAAUAAACAUAGGAAGGAAGUUUGGUGUGGUGAUUUCAAUGCACACAACAGUCUAUGGGGCAGCAACCAUACAGAUAGUAACGGAAAUGUAGUGGAAGAAAUGCUGGAGGAAAGAACACUAGUAUGCCUUAAUGAUGGACAUGGCACAAGAGUAGAUGUACACAGGGGGAAAGUCUCAUGCCUGGAUCUGACAUUAGUAUCAAACUGUUUGGUUCAUACAUGCGAAUGGUUUGUUAUGAAUAGCUCCACUGUAGGAAGUGACCAUUAUCCAGUGCUUACUAAAAUGAAUACUAAUGUAUAUAUGCAGGAAGGAGGUGUAAUAACCAUGUGGUGCUUUGCUAAAGCUGAUUGGGGGAAAUUUAGGAUAUGGUGUGAGGAGUCGGUACACCUGCUAACAUCAGAGGGAAGC
Long non-coding RNA from Notothenia coriiceps (black rockcod), 719 nucleotides. RefSeq lists it as uncharacterized. The transcript is spliced from 3 exons. NCBI's taxonomy places the organism in Eukaryota, Metazoa, Chordata, Actinopteri, Perciformes, Nototheniidae. The record is from RefSeq and is a predicted model, not a curated record.